Molecule: non-coding RNA, 1582 nt
Organism: Marmota flaviventris (yellow-bellied marmot)
Lineage: Eukaryota; Metazoa; Chordata; Mammalia; Rodentia; Sciuridae
Source: RefSeq, a predicted model, not a curated record
AUGGCUGAUUUCAGGUCUGGGAUAGAAAAUGUACAAAAUGAAACUGUUGUCCAACUAGACAAUAACAAGAUUAUCAAAGACUACCCAAAUUGUGUUGAAAUCACCAAUUUCUUGGCAAAACCUUCUACAAGAGAUACCAAGCACUAUGUAACUCCUGUUCUUAAAAAAGAAAAAAACAACAUUGAUCAUUGUGUGGCUGGACUCAGCCACCGCUGCGGUGUGAGGCGCGUGUUCGGGCCCUCGCCGUCCCCGCACCGCUCCAGGGCUACUGCCUUGCUGUCCGCAGUCCCACAUCCAGCCUUCGGGACCUCGCCCACCACGGACAAGCCUCGUGUCUACCUAGGACGCCUGAGCUACAAUGCCCGCGCGAAGGACAUCCAGCGCCUUUUCAGCGGCUAAGGCCGCUUCCUCGAAGUAGACCUCAAAAAUGGGUGCUGCUUCGAGGAGUUCCAGGACUUCCCCGACGCCGACGACGCCGUUUAGGAGCUGAACAGCAAGGAGCUCUGCGGCGCGCGCAUGAUCGUGGAGCACGUCCGGGGCCCGCGCCGCGCGCGACGGCUACGGAAGCCGCAGUGGUGGAGGUGGAUACAGCAGUUGAGACAAACAUGGACCUCCUGUUCCUACCGAGUACAGGCUUAUUGUCGAAAAUCUUUCUAGUCGUUGCAGCUGGCAAGAUUUAAAGGAUUUCAUGCAGCAAGCAGGUGAAGUAACAUAUGCAGAUGCUCACAGAGAACGUACAAAUGAAGGUGUAAUUGAAUUUCGCUCCUACUCUGACAUGAAUCGUGCUUUGGAUAAACUGGAUGGUACAGAGAUAAAUGGCAGGAAUAUUAGACUUAUUGAAGAUAAGCCACGAGCAAGCCAUAGGCGGUCUUAUUCUGGAAGCAGAUUUAGGUCACGAUCAAGAAGGAGGUCAAGAAGUAGGAGUUGCAGGAGCAGCCGCAGUAGAUCUCGAAGUUUCUCAAAAAGUCGCUCCCGAACCAGGUCGCGGAGCAAAGGUCGAUCACGUUCUCGAUCAAAAGGCAGGAAAUCUAGAUCAAAAAGCAAAUCUAAGCCCAAGUCUGAUCGGGGUUCCCAUUCACAUUCUCGAAGCAGAUCUAAGGAUGAGUAUAAAAUGUCCCGAAGCAGGUCUCCAUCUCAGUCCCCCAAAGAAAAUGGAAAAGGUGAUAUAAAGUCAAAAUCAAGAUCAAGGAGCCAGACACCCUUCCAAUUCACCCUUCCUGUUCCACCCUCAAAGGCUCCUUCUGUGUUUCCUCUACCAAAAAGAGCUACUUCAAGAUCCUGUUCUAGAUCUCGCUCAAGGUCAAUGUCCAGAUCAAGUUCCAGAGAUUAAACCAGAACUCUACAUUCUUUGCACACUAUUAUGGAACACUUUCCUACUUGCUUAAGCAGUUACUCUUCCAUGUUUAUACUUGGCGUCUUCUGCAAGAGGAAUCUCCUGAGAGCAGGAGCACACAAAAAUUUGAUUUAUGGCCAAAUUUGAUGAAAAAGAUGAGGUUCUAAAAUGGUGGCAUGAAGUCAAAGACCCUCUCCCUUCUUUGUAGAAUUAAGAUAACUUUGAUUUUAUAGCUUUUGAGCUAAAAUA